UUUUUAUUUUAAUAUUUAAUUUUUUUACGAUAUUAAUAAUAAGUAAUAACGAUUGAAGUAAUUAAUAGUCAAAAGUUAGAGAUAACUGAGUGACAGUAGUGGUGGUGAUGUUAAUGGUAAUAACGGUGGUUAGGUGGUGGUAAAAUGAGGAUAGUGAUAGUGGUAAUGGUCAGGCGAUGAUGGUGCGGUAGUAGUAAUCAUGAUGACAAUGUGAGGAUAACGUUAGCUAAGUAGUGGUAGUAAUGGCAAUUUUGAUAAUAAAUAAAUAAAAUCAUACUAAAUAAUCAUAAUUUAUAUCAAUUUUAUUAUGUAAUAAUUAUUAUGUUACUUUUAAAU
Molecule: unclassified non-coding RNA, 336 nt
Filed under: Hevea brasiliensis (rubber tree)
Lineage: Eukaryota; Viridiplantae; Streptophyta; Magnoliopsida; Malpighiales; Euphorbiaceae
Source: RNAcentral